This 401-nucleotide unclassified non-coding RNA is filed under the name soil metagenome. RNAcentral's name for it is "partial contains 5.8S ribosomal RNA, internal transcribed spacer 2, and large subunit ribosomal RNA". The stretch from base 2 to 123 matches the Rfam family "5.8S ribosomal RNA", at positions 35 to 154 of the family's 154-position model. The record is from RNAcentral.
GGAUGAAGAACGCAGCGAAAUGCGAUACUUGGUGUGAAUUGCAGAAUCCCGUGAACCAUCGAGUCUUUGAACGGAAGUUGCGCCUCAAGCCAUUAGGUUGAGGGCACGUCUGCCUGGGCGUCACAUAUCGUUGCCUGAUGCCAGUUUCCUCGUGAUGGGUGACUGUGCAGGGCGAAUGAUGGCUUCCCGUGAGCAUUGUUGCCUCAUGGUUGGUUGAAAAUUGAGUCCUUGGUAGGGAGCGCCGUGAUAGAUGGUGGUUGAGUGACGAACGAGACCCAAUCAUGUGAGACCCCUAACGAAUUUGGCCUUCAUGACCCACAUGCGUCUUUGGAACGCUCAUGACGAGACCUCAGGUCAGGCGGGGCUACCCGCUGAGUUUAAGCAUAUCAAUAAGCGGAGGA